GAAACUGUGACCUGAAAAAGGGUGGUGGUGAGCUAAGUGAAGGAGAAAGUAGGAGAAGGUAUUUAAGAAGAUUAGUACGUAAACCCUGAAAAAGUGAAUAGGUCUCUAGAAACUGAAAGAAGUUUGAAAGCACUGUUGAAGCAUAGAAAGCAGAAAGGAGUAUGAUUAGACAUGAUGCAGAAAAGACGGGAGGCAAUCAGAUGCAGUCUCUUGACCCCUAAAACGGUUUUAUUUUGGUUAUAGUCUCAAUUUAGAAUAGAGGUCAGCAAGCCUUUUCUACAAAGGGCCAGACAGUUCAUAUCACACUAUUCAGCUCUGUCCUUAUAAGGCAAAAGCAUCCAUACACAGUCCUUGGUAUAGAGAAUGAAAGAAAGAGAACAGGGAAAACCAUUUAGGAGUAUAGUUCAGUAGCCAGAGGAGAAAUGAAGACAUUUUAUACCAGGGCUGUGACAGAAACAACUUAUAUUCUGACCUGAUGGUUGGUAGUGUUUUAUAAAUUAGGAAGCAGUGGUGGAGGAUCAAGUAUAAAAUUGAAUGUGAUGUGCACAGAUUUUGACAUUAAGUGUGGGAUUUCUCUGGGUUAUCCAUGUGGGUGGGUAUGUAGUAGUUACUGUAUUCAAGUAUGCACUCAAGAUAAAGUGCUGAAAUGAAGACUUAGAUUGGGGAUUCCAUUUACAAAUUAUAGAUGAAGUUGUGGGAGUGUGUCAUCCAGAGAAGUCUGUGUAAUACCCUAAGUUGGGUCUUCAUUUAGUGGACAGGCAGAAGAUGAUGGACCUAAUGAUGAGACUGAUAGGAGGAAGCAGUAGGUAGGAGUUGGAAUAUAAAACCCUAGGAGGAUGCAUACUUCAGAAAAAAAGUGAACAAUAGUCAAGUGUGAUGGAGAGGCUAAGUGAGAUAGAACUAGAGUACUCAAUGGAUUUCGUGACAAAUUAAGUAAUUUAUUAUCUUUGAUAAGCAUAGUUUUGAGGUGGUAGAGGUAGAAGCUAAAAUGUAGCCUCCAGAGGUGAGAAGGUAGGAAAGUUUGACAAAUGUGGAGUUGUAGAACACUUAGCCUUAUGUGCAUCAAAACUUACUUCUAAUUAGCUUUUGUGUUUUAUUUAGAUAGUGAUGGUUUCCAUCUGAGUCUAGGGCUUGAAAUUAGUAGACCUGGAUUCAAACUACUACUCCUCACAUCAGUAUAUUAGUUGUGAAUGAGCUUUGUUUCAAGCAAAAGAAAAUCUGACUUAAGCCAUAGCCAGGUGUUUAUUUAAGGGGAAAGGAAGUCUG
This 1266-nucleotide long non-coding RNA is filed under the name Marmota monax (woodchuck). Lineage: Eukaryota; Metazoa; Chordata; Mammalia; Rodentia; Sciuridae. The record is from RNAcentral.